Molecule: non-coding RNA, 8043 nt
Organism: Coturnix japonica (Japanese quail)
Lineage: Eukaryota; Metazoa; Chordata; Aves; Galliformes; Phasianidae
Source: RefSeq, a predicted model, not a curated record
GGUAACUCAGCCUCUCCACCAUCCGAAGGCCCUCCUCUUAGCUGUGCUCAUUGGUCUCAGGGUUGAAAAAACUACUCUAGGAUGUGGUUGGAUAAACGCAUGUUGUUCAGCAGAGGAUGUUAACCUUUAAAGUGCUGAUACGUUUUGUUUUAUUUCCUUUUUUUUAACUCAAAUCACUGUCUUUUUAAGAAGUCUCUGAAAUCAUCUCCCUUGACAUGGCAAGCGUAACGUGCCUUAAGUCUCCAUCUCGUGGAACAUCUACUUGAGUAGCAGUUGCUAUGUGUUGCUGUUGGCUUUUAAGGAUCAUCUCUGUUGUUUCUCUUCUUUCUUUUUCCUUUUAUUUUUCUCCUUUUUUCCUUCUGACACGUGGUUUUUCAAAGAGGUUUGGCAAACACCAGAGCCAUCAAGGCUGGGGCAGGCCUUCCAGCCUUCUCUCCCUGAUGCCAUUGACGAGAAUACCUGAAGUGCUCCUCUCCACUCUGGCAAGGUGCACAGUUUGACUUGUCUGCUUCUCUGACUGCAGCUCUGCAGCCCUUUUCCUGCCUGUGGGAUGCUUCCUCCAGCUCUACCUGUGCAUGGUUACCGGCCCUGGCUUCAGAGCAAGGAGAAGAUGGUUAAGAACAACAACAAGGACUUGAAUGGCUGUGAGAAGUUUCUUACAGCACCAGCAAAGAGCUAAGAAUCAACUUUUAAAGUCUGCCUACAGAGAAAGGUCAGAAAGUUGGGUUAAGGCUGUGCAUGGGAGCAGCACUUUGCGCAUGGUUACAUCGUAGACCAGAGAACCAGGGAUCCAAACAGUUCAUCUCUCCUUCAGCCAGCUGGCUGGGACAUGUCAGCUGCUCUGAAACUCAGCUCACAGCCUCAUAAAACGGUGACUGGAAUCCUGCCUGCCUGCAACACUGCAUCCCCAACUCUACCCUGAAGGAAAGCAUCUUCCAAGCUGAACUGAGUGAAGAUGACUCUUCAUGAGACAGAAGGAGACAAUUUUCCAUUGGUACACCUGAAGAAAACAAGGACUGAGAUGGAAUCUGGAUUGAGUGGAAGCUCAUUUGCUUUUACCACUGUCUAUUUUUAAGCCUGGCUGCAAAGCAUUUCUCUCUGAAAGACCGUGCUCGCUCUCUUGGCUCUCUUGAAUUAGAGGCAGCAGUAGAAUGGCAAUGAUCCACCUCCCUUUGAGCAUCCCUGCACGGUGCGGCGGUAAAAGCAGCUUAAUGUUCCAUGGGGCUCUGGCUGAGCACAGCAAAUAGCAAAGGUAAUGCGACGUUCCUGCUUGGGAGGAACAUUGAGAGGGGGGAAAAAUACAGAAUGACCUUUUUAUCUGUGAAAGUGAAUGGCAAUGGGAUGCAUGGGUAACUGGAACCCAAGAGGCAGAGGGGCCUUGGCCUGGUUAUACCUCUUGGUACAGAGCAGAAGGCCACAGGGUAGGGGUGUUGCCUUGUGUCCAUGUCCCCCUACUCUGCCUUAGCCAGGAGCAAGAACACAACACUGCUAAUGUGGCUGCAUGAUUUCUGGAGUGCUCAUUUUUGGUUACCUCUGCAGGUGGAGCGAAUGCGUAAUGACUUUGCAGACAGAUGGUAUAAAAAUAGAGCUCGGUUUACUGUUUAUCCUGCUAGACUCAGGUUGGGGGUAGAAAGUCAUAAAAGUCAAAGCUAUUUGUCAAUCUGCAUUCCCUGGAAUGGUGUAGAGGACCCCAAAAGGGGAAAAAGUCAUAGGGAAGUUCAUUUAAUUUCUUGAGCGCUGCAUUCUUCAUACAAGACCUCUCAGGGUGAAGAAUCCAUUGCAUUUAUGACAACCACUACCGAAAUCUGCUUUCUGCUGUGGUUUUGCCAGGAAGGAAUGCUUCCCAAGAUGACAGAGACAGUAACUGCAUCUCCUUUUGGAACAUGAAAAGCAGAUCGUGGCAAGGCUCAAGAUACCAGUGACCAUUUGGAUCCUGGAGAGAAGCCCAAUUGCUUCAUUAAAGAAGAGUUGUCACAUGCUUGUUUCUUAAAUCCUGCUAAAUACCUGCUUAGCAGCGUUAUUGACAGGCUUUUCUCAUGAACACUGAGCUGUUAAGCUGCUCCUAGUUUACAGCAAGAGGUUAAAGGAUUUUUUCAAAGCUCCCAAUGAAAGCCUUACUAACUGGAUUAACCGCUAACAUGGAUUCAGGCUUUGAGUCAGAUUAACCCCAGCUGCUCAAAGUAGGUUCCUCUUGUUGGUUUUCUUCUCCCCUUUUUCUUCCUUUUUUCCCCCCUCUCAGCUUUAACCUCUUUGUUUGUCAGGAAUAAUGGAAGUAAAACAGUCUCGUGUGCUUGAGCAGGGGAACACUGUGUGCUCCCAGGACUGGAAGGAACUGGGUUGCAGCUCCAGGAUGUGAAAUGAGACUGAAGCAGAGGCUUCACAGCACCAGAGACCUGCAGUUAAUCUCAUUUAGGCUGUACUUAACUAUGUAUUUCUUCAGCAUCUGAGGAGGACUUUCACAUUAUCUGUUCUGCUGAUUAUUUCUGCUAUUGCACUGGCUUCUGAGCUUGCUACAGUCAGACUAUCCACUACCUCAUUUGGAGGUGCUUUUUCCCACUCACUACUGAGCAAAGGCAACGUCCCAGAGCUGCUUUCUGAAGUCAGAAUCUGUUUCAACUCAUUCCACAGUAGCUGCAGUGCAAGAAUCUGUUAGGAAGACUAAAGGAUGAUAGUGUAGGAAUGGAAGGAGCAGGGAACACCGUGUGGGCUCUCGUGCAUGACCAAACUGGCAUGCACAUUGAUUCCCAGCCCAGAGGAGGGAUGGAGCCAGCUCUUCUACUGUUUUUGUGUCAUCUGCUCAUUGCACCAUUCAGCCCUCUCAAUCAUCUUUUUGUCCCAGCUCACAUAGGCUGAGUGCUGACCAUGUGAAGCUCAACACAUGGGGGUCAGGGCAAGGAAUCACAGUGCUUGGCUGGUCCCAGGUAGUGAGCCUUCAGCUGGGGCACUUCAGCAGUGCUGGCAUGUCCCUGGGACAGAGCUGUCUCUCUCACUUAAACCAAAAUAUAAGGCACCCCUGUGCAGUACACUUAUUCCAUUUGAUAGCAGCUGAUGGAUUUAUCACCUACAAAUGCAUCCAGGGCCUCUUGCUCCGCUCUGUGGCUAUCCCCAUCUCACACUCUUUCAGCUCAUUGAGCUGACCCCAUUUUCUCAUUCCCCUUGAAUGUUGAUCAGCUCUCCUGUGCUUUUUUGUGCGUGCUUCUUAAUCUCACAUCCUUUGACUGCCUUUAUCCCAGUCUAAUCCAUUUGUAUCUGAAUCACUGGCCCUCAUUUCUGAUUUCCCCUCCACCUCCUCACCACAGGUUUCUCUAAUUUUCCAGCCCAUCAUCUCCCUUCCAUCCCUGAGGGCAGCUCCUCCUCUCCCCUCCAGCAUACCAGGGCCCCUGGCUCUGCCCCAAACCUCUGUCAGCUGCUCAGCAUCAGCCUGGUCCUGGCUCAUUGCUGCCAGGUGGUUCCCUCACAGAUUUCCUUUAUCAUUUUCCUCCCAGCCCUCACUACACAUCCCUUAGGGGAACCUGUGUCACUCAUUCUGUGUGUUCCGUCAGCAAGUACCGACUUCUUCAAAGCAAUCACUCCAGGUGUGUGACACAGUUAACGCUGUCACCCAGAGGCUCUGCAGGACCUUUUCCAAAGAUGAUAAAAGUAAGGAUUCCUAGCCCUGUGGCCUGCCCUGAGACUGGCUAAAGAAAAGGGAGAAAAUAAAAUCUGUGAAAUAAAAAGAAUGGAAAGAAAGAAAGAAUGCAGUUAUGGGAUGUGAAGAAAGGUCACCCUCUUGGAUUUAGUCUGGUGGUUGGGAAGUGUUUUGGGCAGAUGCUCAGGACUGUGAUACUUCAGAGUUCAUCUGAACUCUCACCUGUCAUCUCCAUGGGAAGGAUGGGGCAGACCUAUGCCAUCUGAAAUGGGCUGUGGACACCCCUCUGCCUCUGUAGGCACAGGGUUGUGAGUCAAACACUUGCUUGGGUAAAGCAGAUCUUGUGCCAUCAUACCCCAGGACUCAGCUGUGCCCAUAGGAUGGGGCCAAUGGACUUGGAACAGGACUGACCGGCUUAGGGGGCCAGUUUUCCUUUUGUCCCUUUCCCCAAACCUGGUUUAAAUUAGUACUUUAUGUAUGUCAUUUAGUCAGCUUGUGAUAUUUAAUAGUUAAGAGCUGUCUGUCAGGUAUUAUCAGUUUGUUUUUCAGCAUGUAAUGGACAGGGUAGCAAGCGCUAAUAGGCAGCUCUCUCUGACCAUUUUCAGCAGUCACCUUGCCUACUUCUCGCUGACACUGUUCUUACAGUAAUUAAUGUGUUGGCACAUUACUGGGAGCCUUGUCAAUGAAUUAAUCUCCAUGCGGAGGGAGCAGCAGAACACAGGUUCCUCUUGUUGUCUCUGGCAAACAGGAGCUGCAGACAGGGAGGGGGCUGUGAGAAGAGCCCCUGCUCUGGGGGUGCCUGAAACUAUGUGCUCUGCAUAUGUCUGGUUUUGUCCUUUGAGUUUUCAUGUCUGAUUAGAGUUUCUGAGGGGAUUAUUUUGCCUGGUGAGGGAGGGCAAUUUGUUAUUAACUUGAUGCUACAAGAGCAGAGAAGAGGUUCAGCUCCAUUAGUUAUGUGAAGGCAUCUAUGUGCAAGUAUUUUGUCCAAGUAAUAGAAUAAAGGUGAUGUCUAGGAGGAUGAUCAGCCCCAGGGGCUUGUUCUUGAUAAAUUGUAAUUCAUGUUUGGUCAUAUUCUGGGCCAGAGGCUGGACGUGAAACAAUGAGGUAUAACAGUGCUUCUCGGUAGGGCUCCAAACAAGAGCUUUAGUAACCGGAAGGGAGCAGGCAGCCAUAGGGUUAGCAGGGGAGCACUUUAUUCCUCCUCCGAGGCUCAGCAGGUUGCAGGCACCCCUGUGGCCUCGCACUGCCAUCUUUCUGUUCUGCAUCCCUUGUAAUACUUGGACACUCAGCAACCUGCGUAGCUCCUGGCUCUCUGUGACCGUGAGUCACUCAGCUGACCUGGUGCUGCUCCCAUUCUGCAGUGUUUUGGUGCUUGUUGAAGCCUCUCAGUGAACUUCACUAAGAUGAAGGAGUGAGGAUCUGUGAAGUUGUCUCCAGUGUGAACAAAGAAGAAAACAUGAAAAUGAAGCAUUUGUGGUUACAGAUACAGAGCUCUGCCUUGAGAGUGUACUGGGAUCUGAGUCUUCAUUGCCUUCCUUGAGCCAUCUCCUGGCUGAGAAGGGAAUCCCCCAGGCCGUUCAUUUUCUGAGAUCAUCCAGGUGCAUCAGAGCGUUUCCAAGACAAUUUGUCAUUAUUUCAAGGUCUGACUGCCUGCAGUAACUGAGGGCAGUGCUGCUGGGUGCUAGUCCUUUUGUGUACAGGUUUGUUUCACUCACCUCCAACCCCGAGAAUCAGAGAGACUUCCACAGGGUUCCUCCAUUUUCAGUGCUUUAGACUGAAUUGUUUUCUAUACCAUUUUUUCAGCCCCACUUUUAUUAACAUAGAAUGACACUAAAAUGUCAGCUGGAGGAGCGCAUGAAUCCCUUUCUUACACCUAAGGACAUUAUUAUGGUCAGUGAUGCAGCUAACACACACAUGUCCAGCCCAGCAUGGAUACGGUGCCUGUAUUGCUCCGCUGAACUGCUAAACUAUUUUUGGCUCACUUAAGUACUUACGAACUGCUACAAUAAACUGACCAGGUUUAUUUUUCAGAGCUGAAAGAUUUCCAUUGCCUUUUCCUUCAUGUUCCAGAAUCCCCAGAGGUUUGUCAUCAAGCAUCCUCAUUUGUGACCCCCAAGGAAAAGCUCUGAACACCUGGAAACCCAAGCAGCAUCAGCAAAGCACAGUGCAGUUCUUGUGCUCAUCAGCCCAUAAGAGAAGCUGACUGAAGACUGUGGUGACUGGACCACAACUGCCCCAGCGCAUUUAACUUCAAGAGAGAGUCAGCUGUUGUGUCAGCAUUCUAGCUAUACCUUGCAUCAGCAAGUCUCAAAGCUGGCAUUUUGAAUCAGUCCCUGCUGCUGCUUGCUCUGUUGCUCUGUUCCACUGUGGCAGUCCUGACAUUUUCGUGCUUCUCUUCACAGUGCAGCAGCCUGAAUUGUGCUUAAGUGGGCAGAUUAAGGGAAUAAGGUAGGCUAUGUGGUUUUUUUUCUGUGUGUUGGUGGGAUUCAGAACUUGUGAGAGCUCCAUGAGGUGCAAAUUUGCUCCUGUGACUUGGUGCAACGCAGAUUUUCCUCCGUGAGCUCAGACUUUCUGACCCAGCUUUUGCAGUCCUUGAUGUGAGGUACUGAAGGGAUGCAGCGUUUCACAGGGCAUGCUGCAACCAUCAGCAGAAGUGUAAUUGGCUCUUCCCACGUGGCUGCCAUCACAAGCUUCGUAGCAGAUAGAAAAUGAGAAACUAAUCCUUGUGCUGGAACCACUUUGGCUCUACAUUCAAUGUGUUGGAGGCAACCACUUUGCUGCAUGCUGACCUCCUGCAUAUAGCCAUGGUGUGGGCCCCACCUCACCCCACUGUGCAAGAAGACUGUUAAUGUUGAGGAUUGCCUCCAGAAGCCACAUCCAGAAAGUGUUUAUGCUUCCUUUGCUGAGUAAUGAGGGCUGUACAUCCCAAACUGGGACAGAGAGAUAUGAACGCGUGGCACAAGGAGACCUCGUGACAUGAGAAACAGGAGAUACACGGUUUUAAUAUUUGCUGAAGCCCACGGGCCUUAACCUAAAUAAGCUGCAGAGAGUCAGACCCAGAGAAGAGUUGCUGUGAUUUAAUUAAACUUGGUGACAUCUGGAAGAAAAAUUGUGAAGCUGACACCCAGGCAUUCGAUCUGAAUGUCUAUCAGCCUUGGAUAUCCCAAAUGCACUAGAAGGAAAUGCAGUAACUGCAUUGACAUACCCCAGAGAAAAAUGGCAGAACAUACACAGCAAAGAUACAGAGAAGAGUCCAUAGUGACAAUGAGAGCAAUGUCUCCACUAUGGAGAACAAAAGCCUAUUGCAGACUUCAAGUUCUUCUCUCUGUGGGCAGUGGAAAGGGUGAGAUAUUGCAUUUGGGAUGGCUAUCCCGGGUCAUCUGAGCUGGGUGGAAGAGGAAAUUUGGAGGGCAGUUUGGAAGAGUGGCUGGUGAGAUGUGAGCCAUCAUAGGCAGAUGAAUUCAUAGGCAGGACUGUUUAUAGAAUGACUUUGAAAGAAUGGUCCAACCAACUUCAUGCAUUUAUGUAAAUCUGUGCUACAAAGUGAAGAGCAGAAGAAAGCUAAAAUUUGCAUGGGCUGUUUUUCUGCUCUUUCCCAACUUUAUUUUAUUUAUUAAACCACUCUGAAUUACACCUUCCAAAGGACAUUUUUCUCCUUGUUGUUUAUUAUACCUCCAUCAGCCUUGAAAUGGGAGCUGCAGGCAGCUUGAUAAAUGGAUUGAAAAGCUGCUUCUGCCAGAAUCAAACAAACGAACAGAACCCCAAUAUCCAUAAAACCUUCUGUUUUAGAAAUGCUAAAAUAAGCACUAUUUCCCUCUGAGCUGCACUGAAGAAUGAUGUGCCCAUAUCCCUCGCUGUUACAGGGUUUUUUCACUUGGUUGUGUCCAGAGCAGAAGUUCAUGCCUGCAUCAUGGACUCAGCCUGUAGCAAUGGGAACAUAAGCAGCUGGACUAUGAUGGGGAAGAGUGAGACAGUUCUAGGAAGGCUGAGCAAGUCUUGACUUUGACUCUGAAAUGCGCCAGGCAAAUCAAUGGAGCAAAUCAGACAAGACAUGAAAGACUGGAUCCUGCUUCCAUCAUGUUCCACCAUUGGAUUGGCCUGGUAACAAGCUACGACUUCAUCUACUUUGGUAUGUUGGUAAAGAAAUGGUAUGAAAAGCAGCACAUUCAAGCCAGAAAGAGGACAGAAAAGAGGACUGCAGAAGGGUCCAGAAUACUUAACAGUCAGCAAAGCGAACAGGUAACUAGAUCUGGGAGGAAAUGUUGCAGGUCUCUGGGGAAGCUGAGUUAUGUCAUAUUAGCCAAGUCCAUCCACAUUCAAGGAAACCCUCUGCCUAUAUUAUUUCCCUAGCACCAAGCCAACUAACAGAAACUGUAAGUUUGUAUGCAUUUAAAUAAACAAUAACCAUAUCUCCA